UCACUGGGAAAAGCAAAAAAAGAGUGAAAAACUGACACUUCUACCAAACUAAACCAUAUAAGAAUAUGGUUCGGCAACAAAGAAUACAGUAGAAAACACCAAAAUUGGGAAAAAUGUCUACUUUCAGCUAAAUGUCUACUCUCAAAGUAUAUCUCAUGACCACACCAUGUGAAUGUAAAUUGAUCCAGCAAUACUGUCUGACUCCAUGGAUACCAAGAACAUGUAGCUUCUUUAACCUACAUCUUCACAAUCAAAUAUCUUAGACCUCCAGUAAAGUAAGUGCAUGCAUAAAAUAGCCUAUAUCUAAGAGAAAAUAUACAUGUAGUUGUAUCCAUGUUCACGAUGAAUCAUACUUAUUUUACUGUGAAACAACUAAGAAAACAUGGAUGCAAAUAGUAAGCAAUCAAGAGAGGUAUCGAGGUAUCGAUUAUAUAAUUGGAUCUUACUCAGGCGUAGAGAAAAUAUGUGUACUUUCCACCAAAUCAGACUUUUAACCAAUGCAUAGCAACAAAUAGUAGACUGAAACAAUAGAGUUGAAGAAAAAAAUAUAAGAUUAAUAUGUAAUACUACAUGUGGAAAUCUAAUCAGUGUGUCGAAUUCCUUGAGAUGACUAUCUGCAUAACUAGUAAGCGAAAUUCAUGGUAAUAUAUAUAUAUAAGUUGGUGAACAUAAUUUCCAUGUGAGGAUAAAUCUAGAAAUCAGUUGACUUCCCUCUGUACAGUUUGUCAAAAUGUUGCAGAACUUUCCAUUAACAAACAACCAUGUGCAGGAAUAAAAAAGGUCACCUCAAGCUAAUAGAUCUGUAGGAAUAAAAAUAGGCACCUCAAGUCUAAAUUAGUUCUGCGGGAAUCUUAUAAAUUGCAUGUUUUUGACUCAAUCUAGACAAGAUUGAGAUUUAGGUGCAUGUGUUAUCUUAGUCUAAAUAAUGUUCUGAUUUGGCUGCGCAUUCACUUGAGCCAACAGAAAUUCAGAGUAGAUGCGAAGGGAAUGCAACAAUUUUUUCUGCAUGGUUGUUCCAUAAAAGUGGAUGUGUUCAAUUAUUUGUGAACUAACUCAUGAGACAUCACAUAAAUAUUAGCAACUCAUCUGUAUGUUAUUGCGGCAGUGAGGUAGCAAGGCAAUAGCGGUGGAUUGGAAUUAGGGGGAAUCUGGACUAACCUCAUCAGUGAACUGGAAGAGGCACCGGCGCACAAAGCAUAUUGACUACAACUUACGAAUAAAAAAUUCAGCUCACAUUGGAGACAAAUACCCAUAGAUUAAAUGUAGAAAACCAAAAGGGAUAGCUCACCGAUGCGUUCAAAUUUCAAUCAAGGCACAAGAGAGAGGAGGAACAAAGGAAAAGAAGCAACACCAAUGUUACAGAGCACCAGAUAGAUCCGCACCAUUAUGAAACUGCAGUCCAAGAGAGCCGAGAGAGCCACCGUAUGCCGUAGCAGACUGGCGACCGUGACGGAGGGCACAAACGUAGAUCUCUUCAUAGGCGGAGCACUAUUGCAGGG
RNAcentral lists this long non-coding RNA (1499 nucleotides) under Triticum aestivum (bread wheat). RNAcentral's name for it is "long non-coding RNA (TAES_LNC010333)". The record is from RNAcentral. Lineage: Eukaryota; Viridiplantae; Streptophyta; Magnoliopsida; Poales; Poaceae.